Molecule: ribosomal RNA, 2903 nt
Filed under: Escherichia coli
Lineage: Bacteria; Pseudomonadati; Pseudomonadota; Gammaproteobacteria; Enterobacterales; Enterobacteriaceae
Description: 23S ribosomal RNA
Rfam family: Bacterial large subunit ribosomal RNA
Source: RNAcentral
GGUUAAGCGACUAAGCGUACACGGUGGAUGCCCUGGCAGUCAGAGGCGAUGAAGGACGUGCUAAUCUGCGAUAAGCGUCGGUAAGGUGAUAUGAACCGUUAUAACCGGCGAUUUCCGAAUGGGGAAACCCAGUGUGUUUCGACACACUAUCAUUAACUGAAUCCAUAGGUUAAUGAGGCGAACCGGGGGAACUGAAACAUCUAAGUACCCCGAGGAAAAGAAAUCAACCGAGAUUCCCCCAGUAGCGGCGAGCGAACGGGGAGCAGCCCAGAGCCUGAAUCAGUGUGUGUGUUAGUGGAAGCGUCUGGAAAGGCGCGCGAUACAGGGUGACAGCCCCGUACACAAAAAUGCACAUGCUGUGAGCUCGAUGAGUAGGGCGGGACACGUGGUAUCCUGUCUGAAUAUGGGGGGACCAUCCUCCAAGGCUAAAUACUCCUGACUGACCGAUAGUGAACCAGUACCGUGAGGGAAAGGCGAAAAGAACCCCGGCGAGGGGAGUGAAAAAGAACCUGAAACCGUGUACGUACAAGCAGUGGGAGCACGCUUAGGCGUGUGACUGCGUACCUUUUGUAUAAUGGGUCAGCGACUUAUAUUCUGUAGCAAGGUUAACCGAAUAGGGGAGCCGAAGGGAAACCGAGUCUUAACUGGGCGUUAAGUUGCAGGGUAUAGACCCGAAACCCGGUGAUCUAGCCAUGGGCAGGUUGAAGGUUGGGUAACACUAACUGGAGGACCGAACCGACUAAUGUUGAAAAAUUAGCGGAUGACUUGUGGCUGGGGGUGAAAGGCCAAUCAAACCGGGAGAUAGCUGGUUCUCCCCGAAAGCUAUUUAGGUAGCGCCUCGUGAAUUCAUCUCCGGGGGUAGAGCACUGUUUCGGCAAGGGGGUCAUCCCGACUUACCAACCCGAUGCAAACUGCGAAUACCGGAGAAUGUUAUCACGGGAGACACACGGCGGGUGCUAACGUCCGUCGUGAAGAGGGAAACAACCCAGACCGCCAGCUAAGGUCCCAAAGUCAUGGUUAAGUGGGAAACGAUGUGGGAAGGCCCAGACAGCCAGGAUGUUGGCUUAGAAGCAGCCAUCAUUUAAAGAAAGCGUAAUAGCUCACUGGUCGAGUCGGCCUGCGCGGAAGAUGUAACGGGGCUAAACCAUGCACCGAAGCUGCGGCAGCGACGCUUAUGCGUUGUUGGGUAGGGGAGCGUUCUGUAAGCCUGCGAAGGUGUGCUGUGAGGCAUGCUGGAGGUAUCAGAAGUGCGAAUGCUGACAUAAGUAACGAUAAAGCGGGUGAAAAGCCCGCUCGCCGGAAGACCAAGGGUUCCUGUCCAACGUUAAUCGGGGCAGGGUGAGUCGACCCCUAAGGCGAGGCCGAAAGGCGUAGUCGAUGGGAAACAGGUUAAUAUUCCUGUACUUGGUGUUACUGCGAAGGGGGGACGGAGAAGGCUAUGUUGGCCGGGCGACGGUUGUCCCGGUUUAAGCGUGUAGGCUGGUUUUCCAGGCAAAUCCGGAAAAUCAAGGCUGAGGCGUGAUGACGAGGCACUACGGUGCUGAAGCAACAAAUGCCCUGCUUCCAGGAAAAGCCUCUAAGCAUCAGGUAACAUCAAAUCGUACCCCAAACCGACACAGGUGGUCAGGUAGAGAAUACCAAGGCGCUUGAGAGAACUCGGGUGAAGGAACUAGGCAAAAUGGUGCCGUAACUUCGGGAGAAGGCACGCUGAUAUGUAGGUGAAGCGACUUGCUCGUGGAGCUGAAAUCAGUCGAAGAUACCAGCUGGCUGCAACUGUUUAUUAAAAACACAGCACUGUGCAAACACGAAAGUGGACGUAUACGGUGUGACGCCUGCCCGGUGCCGGAAGGUUAAUUGAUGGGGUUAGCGCAAGCGAAGCUCUUGAUCGAAGCCCCGGUAAACGGCGGCCGUAACUAUAACGGUCCUAAGGUAGCGAAAUUCCUUGUCGGGUAAGUUCCGACCUGCACGAAUGGCGUAAUGAUGGCCAGGCUGUCUCCACCCGAGACUCAGUGAAAUUGAACUCGCUGUGAAGAUGCAGUGUACCCGCGGCAAGACGGAAAGACCCCGUGAACCUUUACUAUAGCUUGACACUGAACAUUGAGCCUUGAUGUGUAGGAUAGGUGGGAGGCUUUGAAGUGUGGACGCCAGUCUGCAUGGAGCCGACCUUGAAAUACCACCCUUUAAUGUUUGAUGUUCUAACGUUGACCCGUAAUCCGGGUUGCGGACAGUGUCUGGUGGGUAGUUUGACUGGGGCGGUCUCCUCCUAAAGAGUAACGGAGGAGCACGAAGGUUGGCUAAUCCUGGUCGGACAUCAGGAGGUUAGUGCAAUGGCAUAAGCCAGCUUGACUGCGAGCGUGACGGCGCGAGCAGGUGCGAAAGCAGGUCAUAGUGAUCCGGUGGUUCUGAAUGGAAGGGCCAUCGCUCAACGGAUAAAAGGUACUCCGGGGAUAACAGGCUGAUACCGCCCAAGAGUUCAUAUCGACGGCGGUGUUUGGCACCUCGAUGUCGGCUCAUCACAUCCUGGGGCUGAAGUAGGUCCCAAGGGUAUGGCUGUUCGCCAUUUAAAGUGGUACGCGAGCUGGGUUUAGAACGUCGUGAGACAGUUCGGUCCCUAUCUGCCGUGGGCGCUGGAGAACUGAGGGGGCUGCUCCUAGUACGAGAGGACCGGAGUGGACGCAUCACUGGUGUUCGGGUUGUCAUGCCAAUGGCACUGCCCGGUAGCUAAAUGCGGAAGAGAUAAGUGCUGAAAGCAUCUAAGCACGAAACUUGCCCCGAGAUGAGUUCUCCCUGACUCCUUGAGAGUCCUGAAGGAACGUUGAAGACGACGACGUUGAUAGGCCGGGUGUGUAAGCGCAGCGAUGCGUUGAGCUAACCGGUACUAAUGAACCGUGAGGCUUAACCUU